This is a long non-coding RNA of Drosophila innubila, 205 nucleotides long. RefSeq lists it as uncharacterized. NCBI's taxonomy places the organism in Eukaryota, Metazoa, Arthropoda, Insecta, Diptera, Drosophilidae. The record is from RefSeq and is a predicted model, not a curated record. The transcript is spliced from 2 exons.
UGCGGUUUCAACGUGGCCGAAAGCGAAUGCAAACCAAACGGGCAAAAACCAACGAACACGUUAACGCAGUAAAAAGUGAAAAGCCGUUACGGGUGGCAUUUGAAAAAAAGCAAAGAAAAACAAAUGUUGCAAGGCCGUACUUCAAUCCAUAUAAAAUGUACAAAUAAAUAAUCAUAUCAAAGGAGGAAACGCAGCAGCAGUAGGA